AUUGAACGCUAGCGGGAUGCUUUACACAUGCAAGUCGAACGAGCGGCGGACGGGUGAGUAAUGUAUGGGAACGUGCCCAGUAGAGGGGGAUAACUACUGGAAACGGUGGCUACUACCGCAUACUAUUGGAUCGCCCGAUAUCGGAUUAGCUAGUGGGUGGGGUAAAGGCGCACCAAGGCAACGAUCCGUAGCUGGUGUGAGAGGACGACCAGCCACACUGGGACUGAGACACGGCCCAGACUCCUACGGGAGGCAGCAGUAGGGAAGUUUGGACAAUGGGGGAAACCCUGAUCCAGCCAUCCCGCGUGUAUGAGAAGGCCUUCGGGUUGUAAAGUACUUUUGGCAGAGAAGCGGUAUCUGCAGAAUAAGCACCGGCUAACUACGUGCCAGCAGCCGCGGUAAUAC
Molecule: ribosomal RNA, 405 nt
Filed under: uncultured bacterium
Lineage: Bacteria
Description: partial 16S ribosomal RNA
Rfam family: Bacterial small subunit ribosomal RNA
Source: RNAcentral